GAUUAACGCUGGCGGCAUGCCUAAUACAUGCAAGUCGAACGGAAGCAGCAAUGCUUUAGUGGCGAACGGGUGAGUAACACGUAGGGAACCUACCUAUACGACGAGGAUAACUACUGGAAACGGUAGCUAAAACUGGAUAGGAUCAAUUGAGGCAUCUUGAUUGAUUUAAAGAUCCUUCGGGAUUACGUAGAGAUGGCCCUGCGGCGCAUUAGCUAGUUGGUGAGGUAAUGGCUCACCAAGGCAACGAUCAGUAGCCGACCUGAGAGGGUGAUCGGCCACACUGGAACUGAGACACGGUCCAGACUCCUACGGGAGGCAGCAGUGGGGAAUAUUGCACAAUGGGCGAAAGCCUGAUGCAGCAACGCCGCGUGAGCGAUGAAGGCCU
This 385-nucleotide ribosomal RNA is filed under the name uncultured bacterium. Its description in RNAcentral is "bacterial SSU rRNA". It matches the Rfam family "Bacterial small subunit ribosomal RNA", at positions 28 to 417 of the family's 1533-position model. The record is from RNAcentral.